RNAcentral lists this ribosomal RNA (372 nucleotides) under uncultured organism. RNAcentral describes it as "partial 16S ribosomal RNA". It matches the Rfam family "Bacterial small subunit ribosomal RNA", at positions 527 to 896 of the family's 1533-position model. The record is from RNAcentral.
GUAGGUGGCAAGCGUUGUCCGGAAUUAUUGGGCGUAAAGCGCGCGCAGGCGGUUCUUUAAGUCUGAUGUGAAAGCCCACGGCUCAACCGUGGAGGGUCAUUGGAAACUGGAGAACUUGAGUACAGAAGAGGAAAGCGGAAUUCCACGUGUAGCGGUGAAAUGCGUAGAGAUGUGGAGGAACACCAGUGGCGAAGGCGGCUUUCUGGUCUGUAACUGACGCUGAGGCGCGAAAGCGUGGGGAGCAAACAGGAUUAGAUACCCUGGUAGUCCACGCCGUAAACGAUGAGUGCUAAGUGUUAGGGGGUUUCCGCCCCCCUUAGUGCUGCAGCUAACGCAUUAAGCACUCCGCCUGGGAGUAUGGCCGCAAGGCUG